UUCGGAGUGAGUAGAGUGGCGCACGGGUGAGUAACGCAUGGGAACGUACCUAUAGGUUUGGGAUAACCACGGGAAACUGUGGCUAAUACCGGAUAGUCUCGCAAGAGUAAAGGAGCCCUCUGAUUUAAGGUUUCGCCAAUAGAUCGGCCCAUGUCCUAUUAGCUAGUUGGUAGGGUAAUGGCCUACCAAGGCUACGAUAGGUAGCUGGUCUGAGAGGAUGAUCAGCCACACUGGAACUGAGACACGGUCCAGACUCCUACGGGAGGCAGCAGUGGGGAAUAUUGCACAAUGGAGGAAACUCUGAUGCAGCAAUGCCGCGUGAGUGAAGAAGGCUCUUGGGUCGUAAAGCUCUUUCGAUUGGGAAGAAGGGGUUAUGUAGUUAAUACCUGCAUAAUUUGACGGUACCUAAAGAAGAAGCACCGGCUAAUUUCGUG
RNAcentral lists this ribosomal RNA (434 nucleotides) under uncultured bacterium. RNAcentral describes it as "bacterial SSU rRNA". It matches the Rfam family "Bacterial small subunit ribosomal RNA", at positions 80 to 507 of the family's 1533-position model. The record is from RNAcentral.